AUCUCUUCUCAUCUCAACCUUUUCUAAUUGAAAUCGACCGUUCCAAACGCAAGUGCCCAAAAGUUUGAUAGUUGGUAUCUGAGGUCUCAAAUUCAAAAUCUUGUUGCUUUAUAUUUUCAGCUAAAUUUAUUUCUAAAAAAAAUAAAUGAAACAGAUAAUAUACUAUCUUUCUCUUAAAAUAAAUAAGUAUCCUUGAAUAUCAAAGAUGCCCUUAAUAUUCUGUAAAAUUACACCGGAAGAGUUAUCCGUUUCAUGAUGUUAUUGAUU
This 267-nucleotide long non-coding RNA is filed under the name Ananas comosus (pineapple). Its description in RNAcentral is "long non-coding RNA (ACOM_LNC006613)". Lineage: Eukaryota; Viridiplantae; Streptophyta; Magnoliopsida; Poales; Bromeliaceae. The record is from RNAcentral.